UGAGUCGCUUGGGAAGACGGGGAGCUGGUUUCUCUGGGGAUCCCCGCAGCAGCCCGCCCACUGCACUGACCAGGGCCAGCAUGGCUACCUCCUUUCUGUGGUCACCUCAAAUGAGGGGACGGGGGCUGGAGGAGGGCAUGAAGGCAGCAGAGCCCAGGUUCACCAGGACGCCCAAGCUCUUGACAUUUCGCCUGUGCUUCUAUUGGGGACUCACCACCGCCUCCUGUGCCUUCUGUGGGGGAUCCUUGUGCCCCUGUGAAACACCGGAAAUGUUCUGAAA
Molecule: long non-coding RNA, 280 nt
Organism: Suricata suricatta (meerkat)
Lineage: Eukaryota; Metazoa; Chordata; Mammalia; Carnivora; Herpestidae
Exons: 2
Source: RefSeq, a predicted model, not a curated record